This 253-nucleotide ribosomal RNA is filed under the name uncultured bacterium. RNAcentral's name for it is "partial 16S ribosomal RNA". It matches the Rfam family "Bacterial small subunit ribosomal RNA", at positions 524 to 776 of the family's 1533-position model. The record is from RNAcentral.
UACGAAGGGGGCUAGCGUUGCUCGGAAUUACUGGGCGUAAAGCGCACGUAGGCGGCUCUUUAAGUCGGGGGUGAAAUCCUGGAGCUCAACUCCAGAACUGCCUUCGAUACUGAAGAGCUCGAGUCCGGGAGAGGUGAGUGGAACUGCGAGUGUAGAGGUGAAAUUCGUAGAUAUUUGCAAGAACACCAGUGGCGAAGGCGGCUCACUGGCCCGGUACUGACGCUGAGGUGCGAAAGCGUGGGGAGCAAACAGG